This is a long non-coding RNA of Bos taurus (domestic cattle), 793 nucleotides long. NCBI's taxonomy places the organism in Eukaryota, Metazoa, Chordata, Mammalia, Artiodactyla, Bovidae. The record is from Ensembl.
CCCUUCCCAUCAAGCCCCGCCCCUUUCAGCUUUCCAAGUCCUCUGCUAUCCCCGGUUGACUCCAGCCUUGACCCUCCCGUGCUGUCUGUCAUAAUUACUCCCCUCUGCCCUUUUAUCCGUAAACUCCACCCCUAGUGACAGACAGCAGGGCCUCAGGGGUUUGAGAGGAUGAAGGGGACCUCUUAGCCACUCCUCCCCUCCCUCCCUCACACACACACACACACACACACACACACACACACACUGUGUAGGCUGCCAGGCAUAUGGCCCCUUUGUACCCACACAAUGGAGACCCUGCCUGUGCCCCUUUCAUCUGGGCACAGCGCUCCUCUCCCUCUUUCACUCACCUUCCUUCCUUCCCAGUGCGGUGCUGGCCUUCUUUGCCUUCUCUUUCUGACUCUUGCUUUCUUAUGUCCUUUCCAUAAGCUCUUGAAAUCUGAUUGAGUGAGGAUUGGAGGCAGGAGAAAGAAGCUGACAGGAAGGUCACAAUCCCUGAAUGCUAGUUUGCCAGAGAGAAGCGGGAAGAGAGCAGAGAGGGAGCUGGGGAGAAGGGAGGUGGUGUGGUGGCCACAGCAGAACCAGCAGCGUUGUGCCGGAGGGGAGAGAAUGCCCUGUGGCCUAGCCCCAUCCUCGACUUUUAUGCUUUGUGCCAUAAUGAGCAAAGCACGUGCCUCCCUGCGCCUCAACUUCCUCCUCUGCAGCAUGUGAAGGUGGAUUCUUUACGGUCUGAGCCACGAGGGAAGCCCUUAUAAAUACACAUAUACAUGCUGUGCUGUGCUUAAGCAUUUAUACG